RNAcentral lists this transfer RNA (66 nucleotides) under Herdmania momus (red throated ascidian). Its description in RNAcentral is "transfer RNA-Thr (UGU)". Lineage: Eukaryota; Metazoa; Chordata; Ascidiacea; Stolidobranchia; Pyuridae. The record is from RNAcentral.
GGGAUUUUAGUUUAAAUUAAAAUGUAAUCUUUGUAAGGUUAAGUUGUUAAGGUUUUGCAAGUCCCA